CGUGUAGGCGGCUUGGUAAGUCGGGUGUGAAAGCCCGGAGCUCAACUCCGGAACUGCACUCGAAACUGCCUCGCUCGAGUCCCGGAGAGGGUGGUGGAAUUCCCGGUGUAGAGGUGAAAUUCGUAGAUAUCGGGAGGAACACCAGUGGCGAAGGCGGCCACCUGGACGGUGACUGACGCUGAGACGCGAAAGCGUGGGGAGCAAACAGGAUUAGAUACCCUGGUAGUCCACGCCGUAAACUUUGGGUGCUAGGCGUCGCGGGUAUUGACCCCCGCGGUGCCGCAGCUAACGCGUUAAGCACCCCGCCUGGGGAGUACGGUCGCAAGACUAAAA
This 333-nucleotide ribosomal RNA is filed under the name uncultured bacterium. Its description in RNAcentral is "bacterial SSU rRNA". It matches the Rfam family "Bacterial small subunit ribosomal RNA", at positions 568 to 899 of the family's 1533-position model. The record is from RNAcentral.